RNAcentral lists this long non-coding RNA (1245 nucleotides) under Scleropages formosus (Asian bonytongue). RNAcentral describes it as "lncRNA (ENSSFOG00015029345.1)". Lineage: Eukaryota; Metazoa; Chordata; Actinopteri; Osteoglossiformes; Osteoglossidae. The record is from RNAcentral.
CGUCAGAUUUUACUCUGCCUAGAAACAAAGGUUAUACAUGGACCAGGAGCCGUGCUGGAGCGGCACUCGUCGACGAUGGACGGCUGGACAUAUGAGUACUUCGUUGCCAUACUGUGGCGGCCGUGGCUGUGACUCUGCUCAUGAUGAUGCUUUAUUAUUGCAGAAGAUUUUACUUCAAACGUGAUGAUCGCCGGAGGACCUACAUGAAUUCAUUCUAUGAUGCGGAGUCCAGGGACACCAUAUACAAGGCAGAUGAGCCUCCUGGAAGCGCUACAGUGGACAGUGUCCCUCGAGGUAACGUGGAGUGUUCAGACGUAACCCUUGGGAGCGAACCAACUCGGUCCUCGGAAUGUCAGUUUUCGCCUGUCCAUCUUCACUCAUACGGCUUUUCAAACGUUAACUGAAUAAUUUGUGACACAAAUCAUUUCAUCCUUGGUGCAAAGUAUGAGUCUCAGUCAGUUCCCCCCCUCAGCCACCAGUCUGCAAUAUUCAAAUCUUUGCAAGUUCAUCACUCAGUGUUGGUACCACGGUGUCACUGUGCCGAUACUGGACGGACAUGUAGAUCGCACACUUGCACUAUAGACCGGAAAUGUCUUGAAAUGGUGCUCUAAGCUGAGCCAUCCUAGCAGAGAUGAUGGACUGCAGACCAGACGCACUGGACUAACAAGCACUGUGUUUAUUCCCCACAGAUCCGAACCCUCAGGAUCAGAUGAGACAAGGAGCUGCUGAUGCAGAUGGAGAAAAUCUUAUGACUUAGUUUGAGCCCCGGUUUGCUCUUUACAAGAACAAACCGUUUGCUCACGAAGUCCCAGGACAGAAGAGUUUGUGGGGCCGCAGUUUUCGGCUUCCUUUUUUGUUACUCCGUUGUUCACGUGUCACGGAAUUCUCAUGAUUUGGAGGACAACUGUUCAAAUGUGGUAAAAGCUGCGUGUGACUUUGUUUCUGUUUAUUGAUACUGUUGGUAUGAAUUUUAUGGCUGUUUGUUGCAUUCAGCACAGUAUGUGUUGUAAGCACAUUACUGUGGUACAACUGGACUUUACUGUAUUACGCAGCACACUGGAGCUGGUUACGCUUCAGUCACAUACUGGACGUGUUUUUACUAUCUUUGUGUGUUGAGGUCAUAGUUAUAGAAUGUCUGUUACAUAAACUCAAGAAUGGGGUGAACUUGAUCACCUUACACAUUAUAUACAUUUCAACUGAGUUCAUAUAAAUAAAUGCAAUCAAAGUUUAUUCUUGCGUAUUUCU